CAUAGGUGCCCCCACUACCA
RNAcentral lists this transfer RNA (20 nucleotides) under Hemiphyllodactylus montawaensis. Its description in RNAcentral is "partial tRNA-Tyr". Lineage: Eukaryota; Metazoa; Chordata; Lepidosauria; Squamata; Gekkonidae. The record is from RNAcentral.